RNAcentral lists this non-coding RNA (23 nucleotides) under Arabidopsis thaliana (thale cress). Lineage: Eukaryota; Viridiplantae; Streptophyta; Magnoliopsida; Brassicales; Brassicaceae. The record is from RNAcentral.
CAUGUGCAAAUGCUUUCUACAGG